CUGCCUACGGGAGGCAGCAGUGAGGAAUAUUGGUCAAUGGUCGGGAGACUGAACCAGCCAAGCCGCGUGAGGGAUGAAGGUACAGAGUAUCGUGAACCUCUUUUGUCAGGGAACAAAGGCGGGGACGUGUCCCCGGAUGAGGGUACCUGAAGAAAAAGCAUCGGCUAACUCCGUGCCAGCAGCCGCGGUAAUACGGAGGAUGCGAGCGUUAUCCGGAUUUAUUGGGUUUAAAGGGUGCGCAGGCGGUCUGUUAAGUCAGCGGGCAAAGCCCGGGGCCCAACCCCGGCCCGCC
Molecule: ribosomal RNA, 292 nt
Filed under: uncultured bacterium
Lineage: Bacteria
Description: partial 16S ribosomal RNA
Rfam family: Bacterial small subunit ribosomal RNA
Source: RNAcentral